CUGCUGCCUCCCGUAGGAGUUUGGACCGUGUCUCAGUUCCAAUGUGGGGGACCUUCCCCUCAGAACCCCUACGCAUCGUCGGCUUGGUGGGCCGUUGCCCCACCAACUACCUAAUGCGCCGCAUGCCCAUCCGUGACCGGGGUCGCCCCCUUUGGCCGGCAGGGGAUGUCCCCUCCCGGCAUUAUGUUGUAUUAGGCGGGAUUUCUCCCGGUUAUCCAUCUGUCACGGCCAGGUUGCAUACGUGUUACUCACCCGUGCGCCGGUCGCCGGCGG
Molecule: ribosomal RNA, 273 nt
Filed under: uncultured bacterium
Lineage: Bacteria
Description: partial 16S ribosomal RNA
Source: RNAcentral